This 1535-nucleotide long non-coding RNA is filed under the name Meleagris gallopavo (turkey). RNAcentral's name for it is "lncRNA (ENSMGAG00000022346.1)". The record is from RNAcentral. Lineage: Eukaryota; Metazoa; Chordata; Aves; Galliformes; Phasianidae.
UGAAGAUAAACAGUAUGUUUUCUGGAAGCAGAACAAGGCAGAGUAAAGCAGAUCUUCAACUGAUAUAAAUUUGUCUCAUCUCUGUAAAGAUAAUGAAAUUAGCACUAAUUAAAAUUAGCGAAGAUCUGUAUCUCAUACAGACUCCUCAACCGAUCUUCAUGAAGCUAAGCAACUGCACUGGUGACAACAUGCAGUCCUGGCAGCUUCCAUCCAGCACAUGCUUUGGCUGAGUGGAAGCGUGAUGAUUUGCAUCAAAGAGUGGAAAUAAAUCUGUAGAGAAAGCACUGAAGGACAUUUCUAUCCAUGGCGGACAUGUCUAAGUCAUUCAGAAGCCCAGGAGGCUUCAACAGGCUGUUUCAAAGGGAAACUUGGAAUGACCAGUAAGGGUGAAUUAUAUACUUCAUCAACCAUGGCUGGUGAGUAGCUUCAGUCUUCCUGAAAAAAUCAGUUACUGAAUUCUGUAGUUAUGUGUGCCCACAACACCAUCAGAAGGAAGAAUCAGAGAGAUCAGAAGGAAAGAUGUAAAAGGAGCAGAAAAUAAUCCAUUUGGAGAAUAAAUAUGAGCUUGCACUUCUCCCAAGCCACCAUAUCUUUAAAAAGGGAAGGGAUUCCUAUAGUGACUUCAUAGCUAAACUGGCCUGUUCAAGUUACAAUGCGUGUCUUAUCAGGUAUCUCAGUGUUGUUAUGUUCCACAUGGACAAGGCAAAUAUCCUGUCCUGCAGACAAAUGUAUCAAAAGAAGGAGGAAUUAUAAAGGAAAAUAAAAUUAUUUAAAUUUAGGAUUGCUUGUAGUUUUGCAAUCUUGUUUUUUUCCAGUCACAAAAGUCUCUUUCUCUUAUAUGAUAGCUCUUAUCUUAAGGCUAUCAUUCCCUAUUGUGUUUCUUAGCUCUUCCUUAUACAUUUUUUACAAAAUGUUUUGUAUUUUGAAACUAAAUGUGAGAGGACUGAAUUAAAUAAUUAUCUAUGGAAGUGUUAUCUAACUACUGGUAUAUAUUUUAAAUCUUUUUCUGAGAUGUAUAAUAUAUCUCUUUCCUUCUGAGGUAGAAGGUGGGCUAGUACAGUCUCUGUCCCUGCUCUUCACAUAUACUCUUUUUUAUCUCUAUUUUGAAUCAUUCCAGAAUAAUUUUAUACUGUGGAGAAUGUUACUGAUUCUGAUCAAAGUUGUAAUCAUUUUGAGCACUACAUCAUGUUUAUCUCUAUCAUAUAUAUUUGUUGAGCCAUAACUCCAUUAUUUGAGUGAUGUUUCCCACUGCUGAAAUACAGAAGGUCUGUUUGUGAAGUCUAAUGAAAAUGGCAAAGUGCAGAACUGCUUCAGAUCUUAUGUUGGCUUCCCCUCACAAACUUCAUGUUGAAUUACCACCAAGAAAAAAAGGCACAGCAAUGAUGCUGUGAAAGCUUCACAUUCUUCUGUAUUUUUGGAAGAGAUCAAUGAUAAUAAAAGGUAUGGAGGAAGACACUCUGUUAUCUAUGUUCUCCUUUAAAUGCUAUGUCAGUUGAUAAUUCUUCCUUUUAUGCCUGUCACUGAUAUCUAUUGCU